Molecule: ribosomal RNA, 253 nt
Filed under: uncultured bacterium
Lineage: Bacteria
Description: partial 16S ribosomal RNA
Rfam family: Bacterial small subunit ribosomal RNA
Source: RNAcentral
UACGUAGGGUGCAAGCGUUGUCCGGAAUUAUUGGGCGUAAAGAGCUCGUAGGCGGUCUGUCACGUCGGCUGUGAAAACCCGGGGCUCAACCCCGGGCCUGCAGUCGAUACGGGCAGACUAGAGUGCGGUAGGGGAGACUGGAAUUCCUGGUGUAGCGGUGAAAUGCGCAGAUAUCAGAGGAACACCGGUGGCGAAGGCGGGAUCUCUGGGCCAUUUACUGACGCUGAGGAGCGAAAGCGUGGGAGCGAACAGG